This 71-nucleotide transfer RNA is filed under the name Araneus ventricosus. It matches the Rfam family "tRNA". Rfam says of the family: Transfer RNA (tRNA) molecules are approximately 80 nucleotides in length. Their secondary structure includes four short double-helical elements and three loops (D, anti-codon, and T loops). Lineage: Eukaryota; Metazoa; Arthropoda; Arachnida; Araneae; Araneidae. The record is from Rfam by way of RNAcentral.
ACCACCAUAGCUCAGAGGUUAGAGCACUGGUCUCGUAAACCAGGUCGCGAGUUCGAAUCUCGCUGGUGAAG